This 178-nucleotide small RNA is filed under the name Chrysemys picta bellii (western painted turtle). Its description in RNAcentral is "TUC338 (ENSCPBG00000001871.1)". The record is from RNAcentral. Lineage: Eukaryota; Metazoa; Chordata; Testudines; Emydidae.
GAGUCAGGUUUCUGGAGUCUGAAGUCCUCUACUUAACCACAGAGCAGGUACAGCACGGAUAGAAACAGUGCAUCUUUUCCCUUACUUACCCAGAAAUGUCUCACUCUAGAUCUCAUGGGGCCAACUCUGGGCAUGGGAGUGUAGUUCUAUGUCCAGGCUCGUUCUAUGUCCAUGUCCU